This 359-nucleotide long non-coding RNA is filed under the name Citrus sinensis (sweet orange). RNAcentral describes it as "long non-coding RNA (CSIN_LNC004706)". The record is from RNAcentral. Lineage: Eukaryota; Viridiplantae; Streptophyta; Magnoliopsida; Sapindales; Rutaceae.
AACAUUCGAGAGACAAGGAUUUUUAAAGCAUAGAAUCUCAUAAGAUAGAAUAAGAACAUUCAACCACCAAGAAGAUCCAUUCAAAAUUCAAGUGCAACAAGAUUUAAUAGCCCUCUCAAUGACUUCACUCCAUGCACUCAAAGUGUUUAGGGUAUCAUUUAUGCACUCAAAUCAAAUCAAAGAAUGCUAUUACCAUAAGCUUGCUCAUAUAUCACAUCUCAAUCCACAAAACAUGAAUAAAAUGCAAAAAUCUAAGGGUCUUAAAAGGGUUGUAAUGGGGUUAAAUAGGUUAAAUGAAAAAGAAAGGUCUAUGAAAGAAAAAGAGAUCAAAAUGAGAAGAAUGAACUCAUUGAAUGAAC